UACAUAGGGACCGAGCGUUGUCCGGAUUUAUUGGGCGUAAAGAGCUCGUAGGCGGUUCGGUAAGUCAGGUGUGAAAGCUCGAGGCUCAACCUCGAGAUGCCACCUGAUACUGCUGUGACUUGAGUCCGGUAGAGGAGUGUGGAAUUCCUGGUGUAGCGGUGAAAUGCGCAGAUAUCAGGAGGAACACCAAUUGCGAAGGCAGCACUCUGGGCCGGUACUGACGCUGAGGAGCGAAAGCGUGGGGAGCGAA
This 250-nucleotide ribosomal RNA is filed under the name uncultured bacterium. RNAcentral describes it as "partial 16S ribosomal RNA". It matches the Rfam family "Bacterial small subunit ribosomal RNA", at positions 524 to 772 of the family's 1533-position model. The record is from RNAcentral.